AGUGAACGCUGGCGGUAGGCCUAACACAUGCAAGUCGAACGGCAGCACAGUAAGAGCUUGCUCUUACGGGUGGCGAGUGGCGGACGGGUGAGGAAUACAUCGGAAUCUACUUUUUCGUGGGGGAUAACGUAGGGAAACUUACGCUAAUACCGCAUACGACCUACGGGUGAAAGCAGGGGACCUUCGGACCUUGCGCGAUUGAAUGAGCCGAUGUCGGAUUAGCUAGUUGGCGGGGUAAAGGCCCACCAAGGCGACGAUCCGUAGCUGGUCUGAGAGGAUGAUCAGCCACACUGGAACUGAGACACGGUCCAGACUCCUACGGGAGGCAGCAGUAGGGAAUAUUGGACAAUGGGCGCAAGCCUGAUCCAGCCAUACCGCGUGGGUGAAGAAGGCCUUCGGGUUGUAAAGCCCUUUUGUUGGGAAAGAAAAGCAGCAGGUUAAUACCCCGCUGUUCUGACGGUACCCAAAGAAUAAGCACCGGCUAACUUCGUG
Molecule: ribosomal RNA, 492 nt
Filed under: uncultured bacterium
Lineage: Bacteria
Description: partial 16S ribosomal RNA
Rfam family: Bacterial small subunit ribosomal RNA
Source: RNAcentral